AAUUACUUUAAAUAAAAACACAGCAUUUGCACAUGGUUGAUAAGCCAUCUUCUCUGAUGUCUUCACAAAUGGAUAUAUCAUCAGUCACCCUCUCCAUAGUGUAGAAAGCCUCCCAAAAACAAAAACAGAAAGAAAAAAAAGGGUCUCAUUAACUUUGAUCAUAUGAGUUCUAGGAGCAGGAGAGAGGGCAAAGGCCCUGCAUUUCAAUUGAGCACUCCAUUUCCAAGCUUCCUCAAGAUUGUCGUUCAGCAGGCUCUUCAAGAUGGGAAGCUUAAAAUUCCAAAGAUGGUUGUGAUGGAAUAUGGAGAUUUGAUGGCGGACAAAAUAUUCCUUGAGGUUCCAGAUGGUGCAGUUUGGCCAGUAAAACUAACUAGGCCCUGCAACGGAGAGAUUUGGAUGCAAAAGGGAUGGCCAGAAUUCGCGAAAUU
This is a non-coding RNA of Prunus avium (sweet cherry), 428 nucleotides long. NCBI's taxonomy places the organism in Eukaryota, Viridiplantae, Streptophyta, Magnoliopsida, Rosales, Rosaceae. The record is from RefSeq and is a predicted model, not a curated record.